UCCUGAUGAGGAGGAAUGACCUCAUGAUAGGAAGUGCCGUAUGACACUUAACAGCAGCUGUUUC
This is a small nucleolar RNA of Phoenix dactylifera (date palm), 64 nucleotides long. RefSeq annotates it as small nucleolar RNA U49. Lineage: Eukaryota; Viridiplantae; Streptophyta; Magnoliopsida; Arecales; Arecaceae. The record is from RefSeq and is a predicted model, not a curated record.